Camellia sinensis is the source of this 4634-nucleotide non-coding RNA. The record is from RefSeq and is a predicted model, not a curated record. Lineage: Eukaryota; Viridiplantae; Streptophyta; Magnoliopsida; Ericales; Theaceae.
UAGGAAAGCAGCCGCAAUGGACCUUCUCGAUUUCUUUGAUGAAUUUCGUGGAAGUAACAAAGAAAAUUGGUUGUUUAUCUGUACCAAAUUGCUUGCAAAUAACGUAAAUCUCAUAUUAUAAAAAAGGCCACAGAGAUCUUAGUUUCUACUUGUGUUUUCAAUUUCCCAAUUUUAUCUCUCUACUAAUUCCUUAUACCACACAGUUAAACAAUGGCUUCCUCCUCUGUUCCAUCUUCACCUCGACCUCGAUACACAUACGAUGUGUUCUUGAGCUAUAGAGGCGAAGACACUCGCGAUAACUUCGUCAGUCAUCUCUACACUGCGUUGGCUCAGAAGGGGAUUCACACCUUCAAAGAUGAUGAAAAGCUCGAGAGAGGAAAAGCGAUUUCGCCAGAGCUCCAGAGGGCUAUUCGAGAAUCGAGGUUUUCAAUUGUGGUUUUAUCGAAGAAUUACGCUUCUUCGAGAUGGUGUUUGGAUGAACUCGUGGAGGCACUUGAAUGCAGCAACACAACAGUUUAUCCGAUAUUCUAUCAUGUGGAUCCAUCGGAAGUGAGAAGGCAAAGAGGGAGCUUUGGGGAGGGAUUUGAUGAAUUGGUUUCCAAACAGGGAGUAUUGGGGAUGGAGAAUGUUCAAAAGUGGAGGAAUGCUUUGGAGCAAGUUGCUAAUUUAUCAGGAUCGCCUUACCCCAGCGAUACCAGGUCUGAAGCAAUGUUCAUUCAAGAAUUUGUUGGGAUACUUUUUAGAAAAUUAAAUCAAACAUAUGAAUAUUCAAGCGUUGUCAGAGACCUAGUUGGGAUGGAUUCUCGUAUGCAGAAAGUGAUUGAAUUGCUAGGUUUAGGGAUGGAUGAUGCUCGUGUUGUAGGUAUUUGGGGAAUGGGUGGAAUAGGUAAGACUACUAUUUCCAGAGCUGUUUAUGACUCUAUCUCUUGCCAAUUUGAAGGUUACAGCUUUAUUGAGAAUGUUAGAGAAGUUUCAAAAAAUUGUGGUUUAAAAACUUUGCAAGAAAAACUCAUUUAUGAAAUCUUAAUGGAAAAGGAUUUGAAAGUAGGAAGUGAUGGUCAUGCAGUACAUAUGAUAAGGAACAUGGUAUGUCGUAAAAAAGUUCUUAUCGUGCUUGAUGAUGUGGAUGAAUCAACCAAACUCGAAAAAUUGGUAGGAGAGCAAGAUUGGUACAGUUUUGGAAGUAGAAUCAUUGUAACGACUCGAAAUCAACAAGUGUUAACUAGAUAUGGCAUAAAACAUAUCUAUGAGGUUGAGCAAUUAAGAGAAGAUGAAGCUAUAGAACUCUUUGAAUCGAAAGCCUUCAGGAAACACCAACAAAUGAGAGGCUAUGGAACGCUUGUAUGUCGUGCAGUAGAGUAUGCUAAAGGAGUUCCUUUAGCUCUCGAAGUUUUGGGUUCUUUUCUUUGUGGUCAAAGCAAAGAUGAAUGGGAAAAUUCAUUAAACAAACUAAAAGGAAGCCAUCUCGCAGAAGUUCAUCAAGUAAUUAGAAUAAGUUACGAUGCAUUGGAUUGGCAAGAGCAGCAAAUAUUCUUAGAUAUUGCAUGUUUUUUCAAUGGGAAGGACAAAAAUGAGGUUAUAAAAAUACUAGAAAGUUCUGGCUUCCACCCAAUUAUUGGAAUACAUAUUCUUGUUCAAAAGUCUCUUGUCACUAUCUCAGACAAUAAGCUGUUGAUGCAUGAUUUGAUACAAGAACUAGGGUGGUACAUUGUUUUCCAGCAAUCACCUAAAGAGCCUGGAAAGCGCACUAGGUUAUGGCUUGAUGAAGAUAUAAAACAUGUAUUGAUGGACAAUACGGGAACAAACGAAGUGGAAGGCAUAGUUAUGCAGUAUAGUGACCUACGAUGUCUAGAUCCAAAGGACAUUCAGUUUCUAAAACAAUUGAAGUUGAGGCCUAAAGCUUUUGCAAAGAUGUCAAACUUGAGGAUUCUCAAAAUUUGUUGUAUGCACCUCUCAGAAGAGCUCAAAUAUCUUUCUAACAAGUUAAGGUAUCUUGAAUGGUUAGGAUACCCUAUGAAAUACAUGCCUUCAACAUUUCAACCAGAGCAUCUUGUUGAACUUCACUUAACCUAUAGCAGCAUUGAACAACUUUGGGAGGGAACAAUGCAUCUGGAUGAGUUAAGGAUCAUGGAUCUUAGUCACUCGACAUAUCUAACGAAGAGCCCAGACUUCACAAGGGUCCCAAAUCUUGAAAGACUGAUUCUUGAAGGCUGUAUAGGCUUGGUUAAUCUUCAUCCAUCCAUUGGAGUUCUCAGAAGGCUUAUUUGUUUGAACUUGAAGGACUGCAAAAGUCUCAAGAGUCUUCCAUGUGGCAUUCAAUUGGAAUCUCUUGAAGUUUUUAUUGCCUCUGGGUGCUCAAAGCUUGAUAACGUUUUGGUCAGCUUGGGAUAUAUGAAUUGUUUAUCAAAGCUUUGUUUAGAUGGGACUGGUGUCAGUGAACUUCCACCUUCAGUUGGACAUCUUACCAAUCUUGGUUUGAUUAGUCUGAGCAAUUGUAAAAACUUGAGAAGUAUUCCAGACAGCAUUUGUCAGUUGAAAGAUCUUAGAAAUUUAAAUCUUUCUGGUUGCUCCAAACUUGACAAAUUGCCGCAAGACUUGGGUGCUUUGGAUUGUUUAUAUGAGCUUCAUGCAGAUUGGACUGCAAUUAGACAACUCCCAUCCUCCUUUGGACUUUUGAAGAAGCUUGGAAUACUAACGCUAAAAGGGUGUAAAGGAAUAUCAUCUAAUUCAUGGAGUUUUUUCUUCUUGCCUUCCUUUUUACGAAGAGAGAGAGAUAAUUCCAUGGCUUCUGAACUAGAAGCUUUGUCGGGGUUAAAGUCUUUAUGGAAACUAGAUCUCAGUUACUGUAAUUUAAAAUCUAUCCCCACAGCCAUUUGUCACAUCGACUCCUUGGUAUUUUUGGAUCUAAGCGGAAACAAUAUGGAAAGUUUACCUGCAAGCAUGAAUCAACUUUCAAGGCUGUCGGGCUUGGUUUUGAAUGGUUGCAAGAAGCUUCAAGAAUUGCCAGAGAUUUCAUCUGAAAUACAUGGCCUAUCUGCUGAUGAUUGCCCAUCAUUAAGAACAAAAUGGAUUCCAAACAAAUGCAAUACUUUUGGCGGGCUGUCCUUCAACAUCCUGACAGAAAAAUUUCUUUCAAAUAAAUUUCAGAGAAAUUUUCGUGCAAUGAACUGUUAUUUUGACGUUGUUUUACCUGGGAGAGAGAUUCCAAAGUGGUUCAGCUAUCAAAGUGACGGGUCUUCGAUAUCUUGUCAGUUGCCUCCACAUUGGUUUAACAACAGGUUCUUGGGAUUUGCUUACGCUGCUGUUGGAUUCAAAGAGGAUAAUUCCGACUAUUGUUAUAUUAAAAUGAGCUUCAAGUGCCACGUUACUCAGAGGAUCAUCGAAUGGGGUGAACCCAUUCCAACUGUGAAAUUUGGAAAUAUGGUGGUUAGGUGUGUCCCACGAGGUGCAUUUUCGGGAAUCACGGAAGAUGAUAUGGAGCAAUUAAAUGAGGAGGGAUUUGAAUUGAACAUUUAUUUUUAUAAACUAAUUCGAUAUUCUUCAAUUCGAGAAAAUGAAAAACUGGGAGUAGAGGUCUACGAGCCAGUAUACGAAGUAGAGAUUGAGAAGGUCGGUGUCCACGUCUUUUACAAGGAAGCUGAAGAACAAGCAUCGAGUAGUAGUAUUAGCGCUACUACAUCAAAGAGAAGACGCGACGACGACCUCAACGACAAUCACUACAAUGCAGCAGCAGCAGCACUCAGUGGAAGUCCUGGAAUUGAUGAUCAAGAGGACCACCUCAACAGCGAAAGGCUUAGUUGCAAGCGACUUUGCCCAGAAAAAAUGUCCUCUUCAAGUAGUAUGGGUGGUGGGGAAGCACAAAUCUUGAGGUUCAUCAGCAAGAAAUGUCGUUGUGGGAAAAAAGCAGCCAUUAGAGUGGUAGAGUUCGAGAAUCCUUCAAAAGGUAGGUUGUACUAUGUAUGUGAAAAGACAAGUUUUGGGGGUUGUGAUUUUUGGGCUUGGUGCAACCCAGUUGAAUUUGCUCUCACCUAUAGAAGAGAUGAGACUAAUGAGAAGCCAGGAGUUGAGGAAGGUGAGCCUAUCUGCACUUUAAUGGAAGACUCAUGAAGCUGAAAAUGAAGAUGGAGGCACUGAACAUGAUGAUGAAGUUUUCAUUAAUGACAAUCAGGUUGCACUGAUGCUUUCAGGAGUGGGAUCUUGUUCUGUGGAUGCUUUUAGAAUGGUUGCACUGAUGCUUUUAGGACUGGGACCUUCUUAGGUGGAUGUUUUUAGAAUGGCAACCUCUUGAUGGGAAAAGAGACAAGCUAAAAUCUUGAGGACGAAGUGAAAGAGAGAGCACGAAGAGCUGCAGCAGCAUCUCGAGGAUUGAGAGAGCACUCAAGAAGGGGUGCUGGUAAACUUCCCACCUUUAAACUUCUCAAGGCUGUGUCAAACAACGAAAAAUAAACAGUAAAUUCUGAUACUCUAGAUUUUCCAUUGUUAAAUGUAAUUCAUGUACUCAAAAUUUAUUUAUUGAACAUAUACAAUAAAUAUUUAGAUUUUAUGUAAGAUGUGUAAAAUUCAUAUUGAUCACACGACUGUGUAACUGGGAUUUUUAAGUGCAAUGGAAUUAGUAAAUAAUAAAAAAUAUGAAU